Molecule: RNA transcript, 2343 nt
Organism: Lineus longissimus
Lineage: Eukaryota; Metazoa; Nemertea; Pilidiophora; Heteronemertea; Lineidae
Exons: 4
Source: RefSeq, a predicted model, not a curated record
CAGAAAUAAGAUCACAUUGUGAAUAAAAGGAUGCAACUGUGACUCUUUCCCGUUUCCCUCUCUCUGCAACCAAACAAUGGAGAGAAUAAAGUUUUAAUCCUUCUCGUAUUGUUCUGGACACUCUCCACGCAUGCGAGGAGUUUGGCUGCACCAGCAAGUAGGCCUGAGGCAACUUCUCAACCUGUGAACAAUAGGAAGUCAGUCAAAGCUAAGGUAUGUGUGUGACCAAGUUUCCAUCACCGAAUUCUUUUUAGACCUUGAGAUUGUUCAGACUUAACUUGUCAUGUCCAAUCUGUCAUCAUGACUUUAUGGGAAAACCUGUGGCAUGUUUGUCAAGGUUCCACAGCAAAACAUCCCCAUAGCAUAAUGCUGCCACCUCCGUGCUUCAUAGUCGGUACGGUGUUCUUUGGAUUCCCCCCCCCCCCCCGUUUUGCCAAACGUACUGCUGGCUUCUUUCUUGCCCUGCAGCCUCGUAGUCCACUACGAUGCAAGACCUUCUGGACAGUGGACAGUGACACAUUUGUCUCUGUAGCUUCUAAUUCCUGGCAGAGGUGUUUCUUGGUCGUCUCAGGGUUAAUGUGCACCUUUCUAACCAAUGUGGGCUCAUCUUUGGCUGUCAGCUUGCGCUUUCUUCCUGACCUUGGUAAGGUUGCUGUUGUCCCUGGGUCCCUGUACUUCUGCUUUAUUGUCUGAACUGACGCCCGUGGCAUAUCAAGCUGCUUGAAAAUGGCUCUUAGUGAAGUACCAGACUGGUUCAAGUGGACAGGCGACUCUAUCAGAUCUUGAGAGUACUCCUUUGACUUCCCCAUGAUGGCGCGAAGCUGGCAAAUGACCUGAGCAGAAACCCAGUCCCUUUUAUACUGCUACAGUGGCGCCACCUGAGCUAUGACAUAAUCAUGAUGGUCAACAGGUAGUGGAGACAAGAUAAAAGCCAUUGCAUUGCCCACCUCAAGGCCAAACAACUAGUAGAUAAGGUAGGUGUAUGUAAACUUAUGACACUCUGAAAUAUGCAUUGUUCUCAAAUAGAGCUCAUAAAACAAUGAAAUUAAUGAAACAGAAGUAUGUUUUUUAGUUGAUGACGAGAUGUGAUGAUAAACUUCCUGUAAACUAUAUACUAUUCGUUCUGUAGUUGCCGAGAAAGAGACAGGGUUAUAUCAUCCUUUGAAUUGUAUGUAAACUUUCGAGCGCGACUGUACUCUCUAAUUUUUGCCUUGGCCUCCAGAAAUAAUAGUGUAUUUUCAAAUUCUUUCUUAUCAAACCUGAGUGUGUGUUAUUAUUGCACCACCAAUAUCCAAUUUGACAACGAGUACGCAUGUACCCCAAGGCUUGCAUGUACCCAAUGGUUUGGUUGUCUAAUUAUCUAAUUGUAAUUUCUAAUUCUAGUGUAAAAGUCAAUAGUUCCCUUUUUUGUCAUGGUAAUGUUGUGGGCAUUUUCUAUUCUUGGCUCACAUGGGUGAGCUUAUAUCCUUACGAUUUCAUCUUGUCCAGCAUUGUUGGCUUUGACUUUGUCUGUCGUUAAGCACUUUUAUCAUAUACCCUAAGUGCAGUGAUCUGGCAGACGUAUAUGAUAAAUAGAAAACUGCACGAGUGUCUGAUCCGAGUAUCCAGAUUGCACUCGAUGAUUUUCUACGCAGGGCGAGAGCUUUUCAAGCCGUAGAAAAUCAUCUCGUGCAAUCUGGAUACUCGGAUCAGACACUCGUGCGGUUUUCUUAUUGUACAUGUACAUGUAAGAAGCACUAUCAAUGGAAACACGUACCACUUUUUUCAGAAAAGAAAAGCCAGCAAGGGAAAAGCAAGCAAGGCGAAGGGAGACUAUUGCGCAGCUGAGAGAAUAGACAACUACGACCCCAAAAACAACACGUAUUACAUAAAGUGGCCAGGAUAUGAUGCGUCCCACAACUCAUGGGUGAAAGCGGAAGAUGUAACUUCUCCUCUCAUCUCUUCUUACAAAGAAAAAUUAGGUUCCGGAACGCACAAGAAGUGAUGCACCUCAUGUCUUUCGAUUGUUGAAAAAAUUGAUGUGAAUUUGUGCAAAUCCUCCCGCCUGUGUUUUUUUGUUCAGUGGAAUUCACGUAUUUCGGUAUUCCUUCUUCACCUCCACGCAUUAUUCAUUCUGACAUAAACUCACAUGAUCACUUUUGAUGAAAGAUUACAUAAUGGAUAAUAUUGAAUUGGCACAAAUAUAGUAACAAUGUAAACUUAUCAUAUCUUUCAAAGGUCUCAUUAAAAGUAAAUGUAAGUUACAUGUACAUGUACUGUGGAAUUAUUGUUUUUUCAGACAAUCUGUGGCUGUUGUAUACAUGUAUCAUUCAAUAAACGUGGUGUUUUUCAUAUUAUUAGAUA